UUAAGCGACUAAGCGUACACGGUGGAUGCCCUGGCAGUCAGAGGCGAUGAAGGACGUGCUAAUCUGCGAUAAGCGUCGGUAAGGUGAUAUGAACCGUUAUAACCGGCGAUUUCCGAAUGGGGAAACCCAGUGUGUUUCGACACACUAUCAUUAACUGAAUCCAUAGGUUAAUGAGGCGAACCGGGGGAACUGAAACAUCUAAGUACCCCGAGGAAAAGAAAUCAACCGAGAUUCCCCCAGUAGCGGCGAGCGAACGGGGAGGAGCCCAGAGCCUGAAUCAGUGUGUGUGUUAGUGGAAGCGUCUGGAAAGGCGCGCGAUACAGGGUGACAGCCCCGUACACAAAAAUGCACAUGCUGUGAGCUCGAUGAGUAGGGCGGGACACGUGGUAUCCUGUCUGAAUAUGGGGGGACCAUCCUCCAAGGCUAAAUACUCCUGACUGACCGAUAGUGAACCAGUACCGUGAGGGAAAGGCGAAAAGAACCCCGGCGAGGGGAGUGAAAAAGAACCUGAAACCGUGUACGUACAAGCAGUGGGAGCACGCUUCGGCGUGUGACUGCGUACCUUUUGUAUAAUGGGUCAGCGACUUAUAUUCUGUAGCAAGGUUAACCGAAUAGGGGAGCCGAAGGGAAACCGAGUCUUAACUGGGCGUUAAGUUGCAGGGUAUAGACCCGAAACCCGGUGAUCUAGCCAUGGGCAGGUUGAAGGUUGGGUAACACUAACUGGAGGACCGAACCGACUAAUGUUGAAAAAUUAGCGGAUGACUUGUGGCUGGGGGGGAAAGGCCAAUCAAACCGGGAGAUAGCUGGUUCUCCCCGAAAGCUAUUUAGGUAGCGCCUCGUGAAUUCAUCUCCGGGGGUAGAGCACUGUUUCGGCAAGGGGGUCAUCCCGACUUACCAACCCGAUGCAAACUGCGAAUACCGGAGAAUGUUAUUACGGGAGACACACGGCGGGUGCUAACGUCCGUCGUGAAGAGGGAAACAACCCAGACCGCCAGCUAAGGUCCCAAAGUCAUGGUUAAGUGGGAAACGAUGUGGGAAGGCCCAGACAGCCAGGAUGUUGGCUUAGAAGCAGCCAUCAUUUAAAGAAAGCGUAAUAGCUCACUGGUCGAGUCGGCCUGCGCGGAAGAUGUAACGGGGCUAAACCAUGCACCGAAGCUGCGGCAGCGACGCUGAUGCGUUGUUGGGUAGGGGAGCGUUCUGUAAGCCUGUGAAGGUGUGCUGUGAGGCAUGCUGGAGGUAUCAGAAGUGCGAAUGCUGACAUAAGUAACGAUAAAGCGGGUGAAAAGCCCGCUCGCCGGAAGACCAAGGGUUCCUGUCCAACGUUAAUCGGGGCAGGGUGAGUCGACCCCUAAGGCGAGGCCGAAAGGCGUAGUCGAUGGGAAACAGGUUAAUAUUCCUGUACUUGGUGUUACUGCGAAGGGGGGACGGAGAAGGCUAUGUUGGCCGGGCGACGGUUGUCCCGGUUUAAGCGUGUAGGCUGGUUUUCCAGGCAAAUCCGGAAAAUCAAGGCUGAGGCGUGAUGACGAGGCACUACGGUGCUGAAGCAACAAAUGCCCUGCUUCCAGGAAAAGCCUCUAAGCAUCAGGUAACAUCAAAUCGUACCCCAAACCGACACAGGUGGUCAGGUAGAGAAUACCAAGGCGCUUGAGAGAACUCGGGUGAAGGAACUAGGCAAAAUGGUGCCGUAACUUCGGGAGAAGGCACGCUGAUAUGUAGGUGAAGUCCCUUGCUGAUGGAGCUGAAAUCAGUCGAAGAUACCAGCUGGCUGCAACUGUUUAUUAAAAACACAGCACUGUGCAAACACGAAAGUGGACGUAUACGGUGUGACGCCUGCCCGGUGCCGGAAGGUUAAUUGAUGGGGUUAGCGCAAGCGAAGCUCUUGAUCGAAGCCCCGGUAAACGGCGGCCGUAACUAUAACGGUCCUAAGGUAGCGAAAUUCCUUGUCGGGUAAGUUCCGACCUGCACGAAUGGCGUAAUGAUGGCCAGGCUGUCUCCACCCGAGACUCAGUGAAAUUGAACUCGCUGUGAAGAUGCAGUGUACCCGCGGCAAGACGGAAAGACCCCGUGAACCUUUACUAUAGCUUGACACUGAACAUUGAGCCUUGAUGUGUAGGAUAGGUGGGAGGCUUGGAAGUGUGGACGCCAGUCUGCAUGGAGCCGACCUUGAAAUACCACCCUUUAAUGUUUGAUGUUCUAACGUUGACCCGUAAUCCGGGUUGCGGACAGUGUCUGGUGGGUAGUUUGACUGGGGCGGUCUCCUCCUAAAGAGUAACGGAGGAGCACGAAGGUUGGCUAAUCCUGGUCGGACAUCAGGAGGUUAGUGCAAUGGCAUAAGCCAGCUUGACUGCGAGCGUGACGGCGCGAGCAGGUGCGAAAGCAGGUCAUAGUGAUCCGGUGGUUCUGAAUGGAAGGGCCAUCGCUCAACGGAUAAAAGGUACUCCGGGGAUAACAGGCUGAUACCGCCCAAGAGUUCAUAUCGACGGCGGUGUUUGGCACCUCGAUGUCGGCUCAUCACAUCCUGGGGCUGAAGUAGGUCCCAAGGGUAUGGCUGUUCGCCAUUUAAAGUGGUACGCGAGCUGGGUUUAGAACGUCGUGAGACAGUUCGGUCCCUAUCUGCCGUGGGCGCUGGAGAACUGAGGGGGGCUGCUCCUAGUACGAGAGGACCGGAGUGGACGCAUCACUGGUGUUCGGGUUGUCAUGCCAAUGGCACUGCCCGGUAGCUAAAUGCGGAAGAGAUAAGUGCUGAAAGCAUCUAAGCACGAAACUUGCCCCGAGAUGAGUUCUCCCUGACUCCUUGAGAGUCCUGAAGGAACGUUGAAGACGACGACGUUGAUAGGCCGGGUGUGUAAGCGCAGCGAUGCGUUGAGCUAACCGGUACUAAUGAACCGUGAGGCUUAACCUU
This 2902-nucleotide ribosomal RNA is filed under the name Escherichia coli KTE14. RNAcentral describes it as "bacterial LSU rRNA". It matches the Rfam family "Bacterial large subunit ribosomal RNA". Lineage: Bacteria; Pseudomonadati; Pseudomonadota; Gammaproteobacteria; Enterobacterales; Enterobacteriaceae. The record is from RNAcentral.